CUGGGGGCGGGGCCAAGGGGCCGCGUGCGCCGGAGACUCCCCCCGCCCCGCAGCCGGGAAACGUCCAGAACCCCGAAAUGUGGAGAAAACAACCUUCUUUUCACGGGGGCGUGGCCCGCCGGUUGCAGUACGCGAAAUUGGCAAAAUGAUGUAAACAGGGAUGGUCGUCACACCUGAACAAGGGGGUCCCUGGCCCCAGGCCCCAUGCUUUACUGGGCCCUGUUCUGUCCCUCUUCUGGCAUCAUCUCCCAUGGAGAAAAGAAUGUGUUGAAGCCAAGAAGAUGCUCCCCCCGCAAGAAUAUCAUCUCUGCUAGAACAGGGGCUGGAGUGUAACGGCAUGAUCUCGGCUCACUGCACCCUCGACUUCCUGGAUUCAGGUGAUCCCCUCACCUCAGCCUCCCUAGUAGCUGGUGUGUCCGGAAUUGGUGGGUUCUUGGUCUCACUGACUUCAAGAAUGAAGCCGUGGACCCUCGCG
Molecule: long non-coding RNA, 475 nt
Filed under: Homo sapiens (human)
Lineage: Eukaryota; Metazoa; Chordata; Mammalia; Primates; Hominidae
Description: HSALNT0403752
Source: RNAcentral